This 275-nucleotide long non-coding RNA is filed under the name Nicotiana benthamiana. RNAcentral's name for it is "long non-coding RNA (NBEN_LNC029050)". Lineage: Eukaryota; Viridiplantae; Streptophyta; Magnoliopsida; Solanales; Solanaceae. The record is from RNAcentral.
AGAAGAAACCUGAAGAAAUUUCAAAGCUUUUCAAGUUAGUUGAAGAAAAGAAGAGGGAAAAAGAGGAAUUGACAGUAGAAGAAGGAGAAAGUGAGGACUUUAAGGAUGUAGCUAUGGAAGAUUUUGAUGACGAGGAUGAUGUUGAUGAUGAUGAUGAUGAUGAUGAUGAAGAAGAAGAGGAUGAUGAGGAGGAGGAGGGUGAUGAUGGUGAGAAGAGCGAAGGCGGGGAGGAGGAGAAUGGAGGGGUAAAAGGGGGACUGGAGGAUAAGUUUUUC